Long non-coding RNA from Ceratina calcarata, 1300 nucleotides. RefSeq lists it as uncharacterized. The transcript is spliced from 3 exons. The record is from RefSeq and is a predicted model, not a curated record. Lineage: Eukaryota; Metazoa; Arthropoda; Insecta; Hymenoptera; Apidae.
GCGGACUACGGUUCUAAUUCCGAUGACGUAUGAGCUUGCGUAACCUAGUUUUCUGUUUGCCAGUCCCGGUAAUGAGUUGUCUAGUCUCCUCUCGGUCCUUGUUCCGUUUCGUUCCUGUCCCUUCCACCUGUAACCGCCGAAUCGUACCAGUGUCUCGCGCCACUACGCGUGUUGCUCGCGCGUGUCGUAAAUUACACGGCUGAUGGAUAAUCGUGAGUAACUUUCGAACGGAAUUUCGUGGGUGAAAAGAAGGACGGAGGAGGAAAGCUGCCAGCCGUGAUAACGCGGCCACGAUGAGUUAUCGAGUUCGAGCACAUGGAGCGGAAUUAUUUUUAAUGGAAAGGGAAGGAGUAUCGGAUUUUCACCCGGCGAACAUUUUACGAGGGUAAAGAAUUGAUAUUGGAUAGAAAUUCUUUUUGGUUAACACUACUAUUUACUUGUAUACCAUUCACGAGGACAUGUUUAUAAGGAAUUUUUAUUCGGGUUCGUUGUCGCACUUAAACGAGUUGUACCUCUCGUAAAUUUUCAUAUCGUCCCCAUACCGUUACGGUUACAACAAACUGAUAUUCGAAACGAAUCGGACACUCAAACGGUAACAAGGAUAAAGCAGAAGUUCAAGUCCUUUCAAGCGAGAAGGAACGAGAGCGGCGCGGAUAUCGAGGAUAUCUUCCGCGUAAAUGAGAACGCGGCGCGCAUAGACGAACGAGGAGAUAAAAAUAAAGAAACACGGUACGGAUCGACGAGUUUUAACGAGCGUAACGAGCGUCCGUGUUUAUUAAAUCGAUCAUCUUAUCGCAGAGCCGCGACGAUUCCGACUGGAUAGACGGCAAAAUUUACCCCCGAGACGUGAGCAGCAUCGGUGUCCCCUUCGCGGGACUCGGUGUGCCUCGCGAAGGAUAUACCGGGGAAAGAUAUAUCGUCCGGGCGGGACGUUUCCACCCCCUUAUUUCGCGUUCCAACCCGAAGCGAAAGCCUGCGAGAGGACACCAAACGAGCCUCAACUUUACCGCUGACAUCUCGAGUGUCCAAAUAAAUAAUGUUCCUUAUUUGUUAUAGGGAUUGUGCCCGGCAACGGAUGAAAUCUGCGGCUGCCGCGGCACAGCCAGACUGCAAAUCCGACUGAUUAACUGCGCCCUUCGUUGCGACGAUAAUUGCUCUACAAAUACAGCGAAUUCAUUGCCACGACGUAUCGGCGACACGCUCUGUUACAUGAAUGUAGUAUUAAAAGCAUAUAUUCACUAGAUUCGCAGAAAGUAAUGCUCACUAGACUUGCAGUAUGUAACAUAAAAAAUGAAAUAAA